This 253-nucleotide ribosomal RNA is filed under the name uncultured bacterium. Its description in RNAcentral is "partial 16S ribosomal RNA". It matches the Rfam family "Bacterial small subunit ribosomal RNA", at positions 524 to 776 of the family's 1533-position model. The record is from RNAcentral.
UACGUAGGGGGCAAGCGUUGUCCGGAUUUAUUGGGCGUAAAGAGCGUGUAGGCGGCCUGGUAGGUCAGCUGUGAAAACUCGAGGCUCAACCUCGAGAUGUCGGUGGAAACCGUCUGGCUAGAGUCCGGAAGAGGAGAGUGGAAUUCCCGGUGUAGCGGUGAAAUGCGCAGAUAUCGGGAAGAACACCCGUGGCGAAGGCGGCUCUCUGGGACGGUACUGACGCUGAGACGCGAAAGCGUGGGGAGCGAACAGG